Molecule: ribosomal RNA, 1372 nt
Filed under: uncultured bacterium
Lineage: Bacteria
Description: bacterial SSU rRNA
Rfam family: Bacterial small subunit ribosomal RNA
Source: RNAcentral
GAUGAACGCUGGCGGCGUGCCUAAUACAUGCAAGUCGAGCGAACGGACGAGAAGCUUGCUUCUCUGAUGUUAGCGGCGGACGGGUGAGUAACACGUGGAUAACCUACCUAUAAGACUGGGAUAACUUCGGGAAACCGGAGCUAAUACCGGAUAAUAUUUUGAACCGCAUGGUUCAAAAGUGAAAGACGGUCUUGCUGUCACUUAUAGAUGGAUCCGCGCUGCAUUAGCUAGUUGGUAAGGUAACGGCUUACCAAGGCAACGAUGCAUAGCCGACCUGAGAGGGUGAUCGGCCACACUGGAACUGAGACACGGUCCAGACUCCUACGGGAGGCAGCAGUAGGGAAUCUUCCGCAAUGGGCGAAAGCCUGACGGAGCAACGCCGCGUGAGUGAUGAAGGUCUUCGGAUCGUAAAACUCUGUUAUUAGGGAAGAACAUAUGUGUAAGUAACUGUGCACAUCUUGACGGUACCUAAUCAGAAAGCCACGGCUAACUACGUGCCAGCAGCCGCGGUAAUACGUAGGUGGCAAGCGUUAUCCGGAAUUAUUGGGCGUAAAGCGCGCGUAGGCGGUUUUUUAAGUCUGAUGUGAAAGCCCACGGCUCAACCGUGGAGGGUCAUUGGAAACUGGAAAACUUGAGUGCAGAAGAGGAAAGUGGAAUUCCAUGUGUAGCGGUGAAAUGCGCAGAGAUAUGGAGGAACACCAGUGGCGAAGGCGACUUUCUGGUCUGUAACUGACGCUGAUGUGCGAAAGCGUGGGGAUCAAACAGGAUUAGAUACCCUGGUAGUCCACGCCGUAAACGAUGAGUGCUAAGUGUUAGGGGGUUUCCGCCCCUUAGUGCUGCAGCUAACGCAUUAAGCACUCCGCCUGGGGAGUACGACCGCAAGGUUGAAACUCAAAGGAAUUGACGGGGACCCGCACAAGCGGUGGAGCAUGUGGUUUAAUUCGAAGCAACGCGAAGAACCUUACCAAAUCUUGACAUCCUUUGACAACUCUAGAGAUAGAGCUUUCCCCUUCGGGGGACAAAGUGACAGGUGGUGCAUGGUUGUCGUCAGCUCGUGUCGUGAGAUGUUGGGUUAAGUCCCGCAACGAGCGCAACCCUUGAGCUUAUUUGCCAUCAUUAAGUUGGGCACUCUAAGUUGACUGCCGGUGACAAACCGGAGGAAGGUGGGGAUGACGUCAAAUCAUCAUGCCCCUUAUGAUUUGGGCUACACACGUGCUACAAUGGACAAUACAAAGGGCAGCGAAACCGCGAGGUCAAGCAAAUCCCAUAAAGUUGUUCUCAGUUCGGAUUGUAGUCUGCAACUCGACUACAUGAAGCUGGAAUCGCUAGUAAUCGUAGAUCAGCAUGCUACGGUGAAUACGUUCCCGGGUCU